This 200-nucleotide unclassified non-coding RNA is filed under the name Auriculariales sp. RNAcentral's name for it is "partial internal transcribed spacer 2". Lineage: Eukaryota; Fungi; Basidiomycota; Agaricomycetes; Auriculariales. The record is from RNAcentral.
UUAAGUUCAGCGGGUAGUCCUACCUGAUUUGAGGCCAAAGCUUUAUAGUGUCUGUCCACGAGGGACGAUUAGAAGCAGCACAUUAAAGAAGCGGCCUAAGGCGACGGCGCAGAUAAUUAUCACACCAUGCCGAGCACGCUAACAAAGCGCAGGCUAAUGAAUUUCAGGACGAGCCAACUACGGCACGGUCCAAUUCCACC